This 821-nucleotide ribosomal RNA is filed under the name Staphylococcus hyicus. RNAcentral describes it as "bacterial SSU rRNA". It matches the Rfam family "Bacterial small subunit ribosomal RNA", at positions 73 to 878 of the family's 1533-position model. Lineage: Bacteria; Bacillati; Bacillota; Bacilli; Caryophanales; Staphylococcaceae. The record is from RNAcentral.
GAGGAGCUUGCUCCUUUGACGUUAGCGGCGGACGGGUGAGUAACACGUGGGUAACCUACCUAUAAGACUGGAAUAACUCCGGGAAACCGGGGCUAAUGCCGGAUAACAUGUUGAACCGCAUGGUUCAACAGUGAAAGACGGUCUUGCUGUCACUUAUAGAUGGACCCGCGCCGUAUUAGCUAGUUGGUAAGGUAACGGCUUACCAAGGCAACGAUACGUAGCCGACCUGAGAGGGUGAUCGGCCACACUGGAACUGAGACACGGUCCAGACUCCUACGGGAGGCAGCAGUAGGGAAUCUUCCGCAAUGGGCGAAAGCCUGACGGAGCAACGCCGCGUGAGUGAUGAAGGUCUUCGGAUCGUAAAGCUCUGUUGUUAGGGAAGAACAUAUGUGUAAGUAACUGUGCACAUCUUGACGGUACCUAACCAGAAAGCCACGGCUAACUACGUGCCAGCAGCCGCGGUAAUACGUAGGUGGCAAGCGUUAUCCGGAAUUAUUGGGCGUAAAGCGCGCGUAGGCGGUUUUUUAAGUCUGAUGUGAAAGCCCACGGCUCAACCGUGGAGGGUCAUUGGAAACUGGAAAACUUGAGUGCAGAAGAGGAAAGUGGAAUUCCAUGUGUAGCGGUGAAAUGCGCAGAGAUAUGGAGGAACACCAGUGGCGAAGGCGGCUUUCUGGUCUGUAACUGACGCUGAGGUGCGAAAGCGUGGGGAUCAAACAGGAUUAGAUACCCUGGUAGUCCACGCCGUAAACGAUGAGUGCUAAGUGUUAGGGGGUUUCCGCCCCUUAGUGCUGCAGCUAACGCAUUAAGCACUCCGCCUGGGG